GUUGUUGGUUUCUUUUUUUUUCUUUUUUUUAAACCUCCAAACUGGAACGCCAUCCAAGUAGAACUGCUCAGUAUAUUGUUUAUGCCGUGCCAAUACAGGACAGAUUGAAGACGGAAAGACGACUUGAACUGGGCUUUCCUCCUACUGAUCGCGGGGAGUAAAGUCAUCUCUUCUAUUCCGCUCGCCAAGGAGAGUGGGAGACCGGGAGAGAAAGAGGCGAGCGAGCGAAAGAGAGAGAGGGGGGGAGAGGAGAAAGGAAGAAAAAAACAAACAAACAAACCCCACCACCACCACGAGAGAAAGAAAACAACAGCCAUCAACUACGACCCCCCACCCCCUUUAUCUGACAUUUCCCACAAUUUUUUAUUUUUUAUUAUUUUUAGCCCCUUUUGGUUCAGAGCUGGUUUUGCCCCCAAAUUGUUUUAAUGUUUGGGAUUCAGGAAAAUAUACCACGAGGUGGGACGACCAUGAAAGAAGAACCGCUGGGCAGUGGAAUGAACCCAGUCCGAUCAUGGAUGCAUACAGCUGGGGUUGUGGAUGCUAACACAGCCGCGCAAAGCGGUGUGGGGUUGGCUCGGGCACAUUUCGAGAAACAGCCGCCUUCCAAUCUCAGAAAAUCCAAUUUUUUCCACUUCGUCUUAGCUCUGUACGACAGGCAGGGGCAGCCAGUGGAGAUUGAAAGGACUGCUUUUGUGGACUUUGUGGAAAAAGAGAAAGAGCCAAACAAUGAAAAAACUAACAAUGGAAUUCACUAUAAACUCCAAUUAUUGUACAGUAAUGCUUUUCCUCCCCCAUACGCAGGAGUUAGAACGGAACAGGAUUUGUACGUUCGGCUAAUAGAUUCCAUGACCAAACAGGCGAUUGUCUACGAGGGGCAAGACAAAAACCCCGAAAUGUGCCGAGUACUCCUGACCCACGAAAUCAUGUGCAGCCGGUGCUGUGACAAGAAAAGUUGUGGCAACAGAAAUGAAACACCUUCAGACCCUGUUAUCAUUGACAGAUUUUUUCUAAAGUUUUUCCUCAAGUGCAAUCAGAACUGUUUGAAGAAUGCAGGCAACCCGCGAGAUAUGCGAAGAUUCCAGGUUGUUGUAUCAACAACAGUCAAUGUGGACGGCCAUGUUCUGGCUGUCUCAGACAACAUGUUUGUACACAACAACUCCAAACAUGGAAGGCGGGCUCGCCGCCUUGACCCCUCAGAAGGUACGGCCCCUUCUUAUCUGGAAAAUGCAGCCACACCCUGUAUAAAGGCCAUCAGUCCUAGUGAAGGUUGGACAACUGGUGGAGCCACAGUCAUCAUAAUCGGCGACAACUUCUUUGAUGGCUUGCAAGUUGUAUUUGGAACCAUGUUGGUCUGGAGUGAGCUGAUAACACCCCACGCCAUCAGAGUUCAAACCCCGCCACGUCACAUUCCCGGAGUUGUUGAAGUAACUCUUUCCUACAAAUCCAAACAGUUCUGUAAAGGUGCUCCUGGACGGUUUGUCUAUACCGCUCUCAAUGAACCAACAAUAGAUUAUGGUUUCCAGAGGUUGCAGAAAGUCAUUCCGCGGCAUCCAGGUGAUCCUGAACGGUUACCAAAGGAAGUAUUACUUAAAAGAGCAGCUGACCUUGUUGAAGCCCUGUAUGGCAUGCCCCACAACAACCAGGAAAUAAUUCUGAAACGAGCAGCAGAUAUUGCAGAAGCAUUAUACAGUGUGCCACGCAAUCACAAUCAGAUCCCAACACUUGCCAACACCCCAGCUCAUACUGGCAUGAUGGGAGUAAAUUCAUUUAGCAGCCAGCUAGCAGUUAAUGUUUCAGAAACAUCACAAGCUAAUGACCAAGUAGGUUACAGUCGCAACACAAGCAGUGUUUCCCCGCGAGGAUAUGUUCCGAGCAGUACUCCUCAGCAGUCCAAUUACAACACAGUCAGCAAUAGCAUGAAUGGAUAUGGCAAUGCUGGCAUGCCCAAUCUUGGUGUACCUGGUUCCCCUGGAUUUCUUAAUGGCUCUUCAGCUAACUCCCCUUAUGGCAUAGUGCCGUCAAGCCCUACCAUGGCAGCCUCUUCGGUCACCCUCCCUUCAAACUGUAGCAGUACACACGGCAUUUUCUCAUUCUCACCUGCCAAUGUCAUCUCUGCAGUGAAACAAAAGAGCGCCUUUGCUCCUGUUGUCAGGCCCCAAGCUUCUCCUCCACCAUCUUGCACCAGUGCAAAUGGAAAUGGACUUCAAGGAGUCUCUGGAAAUUUACCAGUGCCUCAGACCUUUCUUCCUCCCUCCUGGCUGUAGUUUAAAAACCCCAAACCAAUUUAGGAAUCCUUUAAAGGCCUCCUCCUCCAAGAUCUACCACUGAUCUCAGGAAAUGUGAGAGGUAUGUCUGGGCUUGUAGUCCCGCCAAUGUAAAUUCAUUUUUGUUUACCUACAGUAGCACCAAGCUUCAGAAGAUGAGCUUUUAGGGGACAAGUUUAGUAUAUAAGACAUGCUGAUGGAAACAGUAUCUUCAAAAUACAAUCAGCAAAACAUUGAAAUGCUACAAAAAAAACUUUGUUUAAAGAUUUUUUUAAACUACUAAGAAUCAACAUGCAAACAAUCAACUUCUUCAUGAACUAUUCCAUUUUAUUAACUGAACUUCUCUCUUAUUUUCACAUUUCUUGAUCCUGAAGAAUAAGGAAAAAGCGACACCUAUUUUGUAUAAAGUUUCUGAUUACGUCUUGGCUAUGUCUAGUACUUGCUAUGUGUCGGGAAAAACUUUGUGGAUGCACCAUUUUGAUUAUCAUGAAACACUGAUGAAAAACGCCUCCAAAACAUUUUUCUGUACUCAUAACUAGAUUCACAAUGGUUGUGUAUCUCUAUAAUGUGAAAUAUUUUUUGUGGUGAAAAAAGGGGGCCAAGGAGGUAUGAGCCAUCAAAACUGGAAAAAAUAUAUUUGGGAAAAUUU
Molecule: RNA transcript, 2913 nt
Organism: Lacerta agilis (Sand lizard)
Lineage: Eukaryota; Metazoa; Chordata; Lepidosauria; Squamata; Lacertidae
Gene: EBF3
Gene name: EBF transcription factor 3
Exons: 17
Source: RefSeq, a predicted model, not a curated record